AUGGCCGGGCUUCUGGAUUAAGGAGGUUUCACAAUAUUGAAGAUUAACCAUGCAGUGACAGACCCGACCGAAACACGAUCUUGUUUAGCCAUGUCGGCAGUCAUCCAAUCAAACACGCCAUCGUAAUGGAGGACCCGGAAGUGGUUGUCUGCCGACUAUAAUGAGAUUCAGAAGUUGUUUCCAUGCAAACAGAUGUACUGAGCGUUGUCUCAGACAUGUCAGGAACAUACCUACAUGGUCGAUACACGCUAUGGUCUAUGAGACGCCGCCUAAUGUACGUUUUGAAUGAAGAUAAGAACAUCAAAAUGCACGUGUAGCUUUGCUGGAAGCUGUGGAUUGACUAGAGAAAUAUUUGUUGAACAAGUUCUUAUUAAUAUUGAUUUCGACGUGUCCUGAGAGUCUUUCCUUCGGUCAGAUCUACAAAGAUUUAAAUAGAAACUGGACAUAUCUGUAAUGUGACAUCAACGGACAAAAACAUGAAACACAUUGGUUAUGUAUCUAGAUCGACUGUAGUACAUUCUCUACAUUCUAUAUGAAACUGGCCAUUUAGGCAGAUGAUGUAUGUUUGAUGCAGUUUUAUACUAAAUAUCUUCAACAAGUAUAAACGUAUGAGGUAUGCAUCAUUUAUUAGUUUACAUGUAAAUGACUAGAGGCUGUUUACUAACGCCAGUUCUUAAACUUACUAUGACUGAAAUAAUCAGACAUGUGUAAUGAAAGGAAUCAUCCCAUCAAAUAUGCGAUUACGGCCAAGGAGAUUGGUGCGAGUUUUCACAGCAGUGAUCGUGCUGUGGCUCGGGGUUACACUGGUUCGGCAUCUGUGGCAGACAACUUCAUCGUUUUGGAAGGAUGAAGACGUGGACCUGGGGCCCAUCGAGUCAGAUAUGGAUAUCCCCCAAGCUUUUGUAAAGUCAUCCGAGGGAACAUCGACGCCUGUGGUUGUUGUUGAGGAACACUAUGAAGUGUUGAAGUACUGGUUUGCUGCCUCGGAGAGCGGGCUGGUGCCAUCAGCCGGGGGAAUGUCCUGUUCCAUAUAGACGGUCACAGUGACAGUGGUGCUCCACUUGACAUCAAUGUACUGCCUCUGUUCCGAGCCCCAGCCAACAUCCAGGAGGUCAAUAACAUGAUGCAGAGAAAUGAUGUAUUUAUUGUGGCUGCUGCCCUUGCUGGCCUCAUCGACCGUUACAUCUGGGUGUGGCCUCCAUGGGAUCUGCCAAAUCAUGAAUCAGAUCACGUGAUGAUCGACAUGCAGGUUGGUUACUUACGCCCGUCAAUGUCAGUCACUGACAAGCUGGAACUGUGUUAUUGCAUGGAGAUGCGGGACACGGAAUUCAGCGAGUGUCGAAUGAGGAAUGCCUCGGACCCUGAAGGCGAUGGAUCACUGAUUGGUCGGUCAGGGUGUAACCUGAACAAAUCUGGAAUAGUGGAGGUUGUGAGCGAACAGAAAGCCAUAUCUUUGAUGCAGACGGGCCAGUGGAUUACCCCCCUUGAUAAUGUUAUCCUUGACAUUGAUGAGGACUAUUAUGGCUGCCAGUCUGCAGGAGAAGCUCUGUACUCUGCUGGAAUCAAGUCCAAUGUUCUAAAUUCUAUCACCGAUAUCAUGUGUGAGUUGUUCUGUGCCCGGAGCGUCCAACAUGAGACCGUGAUCGAUACUUUCUUCCACACUCUUGUACAGCUCGUCCACAGGUUAAAGACAGACGCAGAUACAAUUCUCAAAGACAGUACAAAAACCAAAAAAGAACUGGAGGUACAAAAAAUUGUGUACAGAAUCCUGCCAGAAAUAUUCAAACACCUCAAUGAGGAUCCACUCAGUGAAACACUAUGUAACAAUCCCACCGAUAUGGCAAAUGAGUUAUUCUUACAAGGAAUAAUUCGCAAUAUCGUACAUAUGGACAUCAAACAGUUAACAAGCCUUGCAGAAGCAGGCGUCUGCCUUCAACUCUCACCAAAAGCCCACUAUUUUAAUGUAGCGAACAGCAUCCAGGUUUGCGAAGGAGCAAAUACCCCAGACAGCAAAA
Molecule: unclassified non-coding RNA, 2015 nt
Filed under: Haliotis rubra (blacklip abalone)
Lineage: Eukaryota; Metazoa; Mollusca; Gastropoda; Lepetellida; Haliotidae
Description: uncharacterized LOC124275092, transcript variant X1
Source: RNAcentral